GACGAACGCUGGCGGCGUGCUUAACACAUGCAAGUCGAACGGAAAGGGCCUGCUUUUGUGGGGUUCUCGAGUGGCGAACGUGUGAGUAACACGGGAGUAACCUUCCCUGUGCUGUGGGAUAACUGCAGGAAACUGGUGCUAAUACCUGAUAGGAGCUCGUGCUGGAUGGUGGGGGUUGGAAAUUUUCGGCGGUUGGGGGUGGAGUCGGGGUUAAUGAGCUGGUGGGGGGGGUGGUGGCUUACCAGGGAUUUGACGGGUAGCCGGCCUGAGAGGGUGAACGGCCCCAUAGGGAGAGAGAUACGGCCCAGACGGCUACGGGGGGAAGGAGUGGGGAAUAUUGCAAAAUGGGCGGAAGGUUGAUGCAGGAACGCCGGGUGCGGGAUGACGGCAUUCGGGUUGUAAACCGAUUUAGCCUGUGACGAAGCGUGAGUGAGGGUAAUGGAUAAAGAAGCACCGGCUAACUACGG
This 467-nucleotide ribosomal RNA is filed under the name uncultured bacterium. RNAcentral's name for it is "partial 16S ribosomal RNA". It matches the Rfam family "Bacterial small subunit ribosomal RNA", at positions 28 to 506 of the family's 1533-position model. The record is from RNAcentral.